Molecule: ribosomal RNA, 460 nt
Filed under: uncultured bacterium
Lineage: Bacteria
Description: bacterial SSU rRNA
Rfam family: Bacterial small subunit ribosomal RNA
Source: RNAcentral
AAUCAACGCUGGCGGCGUGCCUCAGACAUGCAAGUCGAACGAUUAAAGCUCUCUUCGGAGAGUGCAUAGAGUGGCGCACGGGUGAGUAACACGUAAGUAAUCUACCUUCGAGUGGGGAAUAACGUCCGGAAACGGACGCUAAUACCGCAUAAUGCAGCGGCAUCGUAAGAUGACAGUUGUUAAAGAUUUAUCGCUUGAAGAGGAGCUUGCGGCAGAUUAGCUAGUUGGUAAGGUAAUGGCUUACCAAGGCUACGAUCUGUAACCGGUCUUAGAGGACGGUCGGUCACACUGACACUGAAUAACGGGUCAGACUCCUACGGGAGGCAGCAGUCGGGAAUUUUGGGCAAUGGGCGAAAGCCUGACCCAGCAACGCCGCGUGAAGGAUGAAGUAUUUCGGUAUGUAAACUUCGAAAGAAUAGGAAGAAUAAAUGACGGUACUAUUUAUAAGGUCCGGCUAACU